This 491-nucleotide ribosomal RNA is filed under the name uncultured bacterium. RNAcentral describes it as "partial 16S ribosomal RNA". It matches the Rfam family "Bacterial small subunit ribosomal RNA", at positions 29 to 507 of the family's 1533-position model. The record is from RNAcentral.
AGUGAACGCUGCGGUAGGCCUAACCCAUGCAAGUCGAACGGCAGCCCAGUAAGAGCUUGCUCUUACGGGUGGCGAGUGGCGGACGGGUGAGGAAUACAUCGGAAUCUACUUUUUCGUGGGGGAUACCGUAGGGAAACUUACGCUCAUACCGCAUACGACCUACGGGUGAAAGCAGGGGAUCUUCAGACCUUGCGCUAUUGAAUGAGCCGAUGUCGGAUUAGCUAGUUGGCGGGGUAAAGGCCCACCAAGGCGACGAUCAGUAGCUGAUCUGAGAGGAGGAUCAGCCACACUGGAAAUGAGACACGGUCCAGACUACUAAGAGAGGCAGCAGUGGGGAAUAUUUGACAAUGGGCGCAGGCCUGAUCCAGCCAUACCGCGUGAGUGAGGAAGGCCUUCGGGUUGUAAAGCCCUUUUGUUGGGAAAGAAAAGCAGCAGGUUAAUACCCCGCUGUUCUGACGGUACCCAAAGAAUAAGCACCGGCUAACUUCGUG